GAUGAACGCUGGCGGCGUGCCUAAUACAUGCCAGUCGAGCGAACAGACGAGGAGCUUGCUCCUCUGACGUUAGCGGCGGACGGGUGAGUAACACGUGGAUAACCUACCUAUAAGACUGGGAUAACUUCGGGAAACCGGAGCUAAUACCGGAUAAUAUAUUGAACCGCAUGGUUCAAUAGUGAAAGACGGUUUUGCUGUCACUUAUAGAUGGAUCCGCGCCGCAUUAGCUAGUUGGUAAGGUAACGGCUUACCAAGGCGACGAUGCGUAGCCGAUCUGAGAGGGUGGUCGGCCACACUGGAACUGAGACACGGUCCAGACUCCUACGGGAGGCAGCAGUAGGGAAUCUUCCGCAAUGGGCGAAAGCCUGACGGAGCAACGCCGCGUGAGUGAUGAAGGUCUUCGGAUCGUAAAACUCUGUUAUUAGGGAAGAACAAAUGUGUAAGUAACUAUGCACGUCUUGACGGUACCUAAUCAGAAAGCCACGGCUAACUACGUG
This 497-nucleotide ribosomal RNA is filed under the name uncultured bacterium. Its description in RNAcentral is "partial 16S ribosomal RNA". It matches the Rfam family "Bacterial small subunit ribosomal RNA", at positions 28 to 507 of the family's 1533-position model. The record is from RNAcentral.